Molecule: ribosomal RNA, 492 nt
Filed under: uncultured bacterium
Lineage: Bacteria
Description: partial 16S ribosomal RNA
Rfam family: Bacterial small subunit ribosomal RNA
Source: RNAcentral
AUUGAACGCUGGCGGCAUGCUUUACACAUGCAAGUCGAACGGUAACAGGCCUUCUGGUGCUGACGAGUGGCGAACGGGUGAGUAAUGCAUCGGAACGUACCCAGAGGUUGGGGAUAACGCAGCGAAAGCUGUGCUAAUACCGCAUGUGAUCUGAGGAUGAAAGCGGGGGACCGAGCAGCAAUGUUUGGCCUCGUGCCUUUGGAGCGGCCGAUGUCGGAUUAGCUAGUUGGUUGGGUAAAGGCCUACCAAGGCGACGAUCCGUAGCUGGUCUGAGAGGACGACCAGCCACACUGGGACUGAGACACGGCCCAGACUCCUACGGGAGGCAACAGUGGGGAAUUUUAGACAAUGGGCGGAAGCCUGAUCCAGCAAUGCCGCGUGCGGGAAGAAGGCCUUCGGGUUGUAAAGCGCUUUUGGCAGGAACGAAACGGUGUCCGCUAAUACCGGGCGCUAAUGACGGUACCUGGAGAAUAAGCACCGGCUAACUACGUG